Molecule: ribosomal RNA, 468 nt
Filed under: uncultured bacterium
Lineage: Bacteria
Description: partial 16S ribosomal RNA
Rfam family: Bacterial small subunit ribosomal RNA
Source: RNAcentral
GACGAACGCUGGCGGCGUGCCUAACACAUGCAAGUCGAACGGAAAGGCCCGGCUUUUGUGCGGUCUGGGAGUGGCGAACGGGGGAGUAUCACGUGUGUAACCUGUCCUUGUCUGUGGGAUAACUUCAGGAAACAGGGGCUAUUAUCGGGUAGGAGCUCUUGCAGCAUGGUGGGGGUUGGAAAGAUUCGGCGGUUGGGGAUGGACUCGCGGCAUAUCAGCUUGUUGGUGGGGUAGUGGCUUACCAAGGCUUUGACGGGUAGCCGGCCUGGGAGGGUGACCGGCCACAUUGGCACUGAGAUACGACCCAGACUCCAACGGGAGGCAGCGGUGGAGAAUAUUGCACGAUAGGCGGCAGCCUGAUGCAGCAUCGCCGCGUGCGGGAUGACGGCCUGCGGGUUGUAACCCGCUUUCGCCUGUGACGAAGCGUGAGUGACGGUAAUGGGUAAAGAAGCACCGGCUAACUACGUG